This 330-nucleotide long non-coding RNA is filed under the name Homo sapiens (human). Its description in RNAcentral is "HSALNT0064488". Lineage: Eukaryota; Metazoa; Chordata; Mammalia; Primates; Hominidae. The record is from RNAcentral.
GACUGACAAUAAGCAACACAAAAGCUCAAAUAAAUUGUUUCUCAUCUCUUUGGAAUCAUGUGGAGCAAACAGGUGUAUCACCUAAAAGCAAAUGUUCAAUAUUUUCUACAUCGUCCUAGAUGCUGGCUGGUAAACAGAACACAGAGAACAUAAUUGAAUAUUUGAUGAUUGAAAAUCUUGCAGUGUCUGUGAGUUCUCAUACUGAACAUCAGUUCUCAUCACACAAGCCUGUAGGUGUACUUGUGGGAUGGCAACAGAUUACACAGAAACUUUAAUGGCCUUGAGAAGCACUCAUAAGGCUUCUUUUUCUUUAUCUUUAUCCUUUAAGAA